UAUGUGAUCGUCUCUCGCAUAUCAAUAAGCGGAGGAAAAGAAACUAACAAGGAUUCCCUUAGUAACGGCGAGUGAAGCGGGAAGAGCUCAAAUUUGAAAUCUUCAAGGUUUUACCUUGACGAAUUGUAGUUUAAAGAAGUGUUUUCUGUUGAAGUUUUGGUAAAAGUUCUUUGGAAUAGGACAUCAUAGAGGGUGAGAAUCCCGUAUUUGACCUUUACUUUCAACUUUGUGAUACACUUUCAAAGAGUCGGAUUGUUUGGGAAUGCAGUCCAAAAUGGGUGGUAAAUUUCAUCUAAAGCUAAAUAUUGGCGAGAGACCGAUAGCGAACAAGUACCGUGAGGGAAAGAUGAAAAGAACUUUGAAAAGAGAGUUAAACAGUACGUGAAAUUGUCAAAAGGGAAGCGUUUGACACCAGUGUUGUUUUUCUGAAAAUCAAUUAAAGAACUGUUUAUGCUAAGUUGUUUAGACUUUAUCAGCUAUCUGUUUAGUUUUGAGCUUUUCUUUAAUGCACUUUUCAGUUAACAAGUCAACAUCAAUUUCUUUUGCUGUAAAAAAGCUUGAGGAAGGUGGCUUGAGAUUCGUCUUAAGUGUUUACAGCCUCUUGCCUAUGCAGUCGGAGAGAUUGAGGUCUGCAGCGUAGAUCCUUCGGGGCUAAAUGCAUUUGUGCUAAGUUAUAGCAUUUUAUAGACAACUUGUUGACUAUGAUUUGUCUUGUAGCUUACUCGCUUAUGUUAUUUUACCUACGCUUAGGAUGUUGAAGUCAUCGUAUCGCGC
RNAcentral lists this ribosomal RNA (774 nucleotides) under uncultured Neocallimastigales. Its description in RNAcentral is "partial large subunit ribosomal RNA". It matches the Rfam family "Eukaryotic large subunit ribosomal RNA", at positions 24 to 645 of the family's 3401-position model. The record is from RNAcentral. Lineage: Eukaryota; Fungi; Neocallimastigomycota; Neocallimastigomycetes; Neocallimastigales.